Molecule: non-coding RNA, 149 nt
Filed under: Vibrio chagasii
Lineage: Bacteria; Pseudomonadati; Pseudomonadota; Gammaproteobacteria; Vibrionales; Vibrionaceae
Source: RNAcentral
CCUGUUGUUCAGCCAACAGUAGCCUAGGGAUAGUGCAUCUGCGGUAACGCGGUGUGCGGAGCUUCCUGACAAUGUACCCCCACGCAAGUGGUUAAUUUUCGCUGCGAAGUGAAGGUUAAGACAAUCGCCAAUAGCAGGUGGUUUAGGGG